AGUGAACGCUGGCGGUAGGCCUAACACAUGCAAGUCGAACGGCAGCACAGUAAGAGCUUGCUCUUACGGUUGGCGAGUGGCGGACGGGUGAGGAAUACAUCGGAAUCUACUUUUUCGUGGGGGAUAACGUAGGGAAACUUACGCUAAUACCGCAUACGACCUACGGGUGAAAGCAGGGGAUCUUCGGACCUUGCGCGAUUGAAUGAGCCGAUGCCGGAUUAGCUAGUUGGCGGGGUAAAGGCCCACCAAGGCGACGAUCCGUAGCUGGUCUGAGAGGAUGAUCAGCCACACUGGAACUGAGACACGGUCCAGACUCCUACGGGAGGCAGCAGUGGGGAAUAUUGGACAAUGGGCGCAAGCCUGAUCCAGCCAUACCGCGUGGGUGAAGAAGGCCUUCGGGUUGUAAAGCCCUUUUGUUGGGAAAGAAAAGAAGCAGGUUAAUACCCCGCUGUUCUGACGGUACCCAAAGAAUAAGCACCGGCUAACUUCGUG
This 492-nucleotide ribosomal RNA is filed under the name uncultured bacterium. RNAcentral's name for it is "partial 16S ribosomal RNA". It matches the Rfam family "Bacterial small subunit ribosomal RNA", at positions 29 to 507 of the family's 1533-position model. The record is from RNAcentral.